GACCAUUGAAAGAGUAAGUCUUGCCUGCCAGUGACUAAUUAACGGCCGCGGUAUUUUGACCGUGCGAGGUAGCGCAAUCACUUGUCUUUUAAUGAGACCUGUAUGAUGGUGUACGAGGCUACUGUCUCUCUUCGAGUCAUGAAUUGAUCUGCCGUGCAGAAGCGGGACAUAAAAAUACAGACGAGAGACCUUUGGAGCUUAAGAUACAGAUCAACUAUGUCAAGAACCAAAAAGUUAAACUAAAUAGCAACUGGAUCCCUAUUCUCGGUUGGGGCGAUCGGGGGAGAGAACAAAGUCCCAGCGGACUGGCCACCCUAGAACCAGAAGAUUUCUAGUACGAUCUGACUUAGAUCGGCACCGAGAGGCCGUACUGGAACGCAUCGUCAGUCAUCACGGGUUACCCAUUGACGAGCAGGCCCUUGGCGUGUCCCGUUAGCAAGAU
This 442-nucleotide ribosomal RNA is filed under the name Clarias gariepinus (North African catfish). RNAcentral describes it as "partial large subunit ribosomal RNA". Lineage: Eukaryota; Metazoa; Chordata; Actinopteri; Siluriformes; Clariidae. The record is from RNAcentral.